Molecule: ribosomal RNA, 444 nt
Filed under: uncultured Christensenellaceae bacterium
Lineage: Bacteria; Bacillati; Bacillota; Clostridia; Christensenellales; Christensenellaceae
Description: bacterial SSU rRNA
Rfam family: Bacterial small subunit ribosomal RNA
Source: RNAcentral
UUCCUACGGGCGGCUGCAGUGGGGAAUAUUGGGCAAUGGGCGAAAGCCUGACCCAGCAACGCCGCGUGAGGGAAGAAGGUUUUCGGAUUGUAAACCUCUGUCCUUGGGGACGAACAGAUGACGGUACCCAAGGAGGAAGCCCCGGCUAACUACGUGCCAGCAGCCGCGGUAAUACGUAGGGGGCGAGCGUUGUCCGGAAUUACUGGGCGUAAAGGGUGCGUAGGCGGCAGUUUAAGUCAGAUGUGAAAUCCCCGGGCUCAACCCGGGUAUUGCAUUUGAAACUGGGCAGCUAGAGUGCAGGAGAGGGAAGCGGAAUUCCUAGUGUAGCGGUGAAAUGCGUAGAUAUUAGGAGGAACACCAGUGGCGAAGGCGGCUUUCUGGACUGCAACUGACGCUGAGGCACGAAAGCGUGGGGAGCAAACAGGAUUAGAUACCCUGGUAGUC